UACGUAGGGACCAAGCGUUGUUCGGAUUUACUGGGCGUAAAGGGCGCGUAGGCGGCAUGACAAGUCACUUGUGAAAUCUCCGGGCUUAACUCGGAACGGUCAAGUGAUACUGUCGCGCUAGAGUGCGGAAGGGGCAAUCAGAAUUCUUGGUGUAGCGGUGAAAUGCGUAGAUAUCAGGAGGAACACCGGUGGCGAAGGCGGGUCUCUGGGCCGAAACUGACGCUGAGGAGCGAAAGCGUGGGGAGCAAACAGG
RNAcentral lists this ribosomal RNA (253 nucleotides) under uncultured bacterium. RNAcentral's name for it is "partial 16S ribosomal RNA". It matches the Rfam family "Bacterial small subunit ribosomal RNA", at positions 524 to 776 of the family's 1533-position model. The record is from RNAcentral.